Molecule: ribosomal RNA, 424 nt
Filed under: uncultured bacterium
Lineage: Bacteria
Description: partial 16S ribosomal RNA
Rfam family: Bacterial small subunit ribosomal RNA
Source: RNAcentral
AAUAUUGGACAAUGGGCGAAAGCCUGAUCUAGCCAUGCCGCGUGUGUGAAGAUGGUCUUCGUAUUGUAGAGCACUUUAAGUUGGGAGGAAGGGUUGUAGGUUAAUACUCUGCAAUUUUGAUGUAACCAACAGUAUAAGACACGACUAACUUCGUACCACGAGCCGCGGUAAUACCAAGGGUGCAAGCGUUAAUCGGAAGUACUGGGCUGAAAGCGCGCGUAGGUGGUUCGUUAAAUAAGAAAUGAUAGCCCCGGGCUUAACCAGGGAAUGACUUUCAAAACUGACGAGCGAGAGUACGGUAGAGGGUAGUUGAAUUUCCUGUGUGGCGGUCAGAUGCAUAGAUAUAGAACGGAACAUCAGUGGCGUAGGCGACUACCUGGACUGAUACUGACACUGAGGUACGAAAGCGUGGGGAGCAAACAGG